AGUGAACGCUGGCGGUAGGCCUAACACAUGCAAGUCGAACGGCAGCACAGUAAGAGCUUGCUCUUACGGGUGGCGAGUGGCGGACGGGUGAGGAAUACAUCGGAAUCUACUUUUUCGUGGGGGAUAACGUAGGGAAACUUACGCUAAUACCGCAUACGACCUACGGGUGAAAGCAGGGGAUCUUCGGACCUUGCGCGAUUGAAUGAGCCGAUGUCGGAUUAGCUAGUUGGCGGGGUAAAUGCCCACCAAGGCGACGAUCCGUAGCUGGUCUGAGAGGAUGAUCAGCCACACUGGAACUGAGACACGGUCCAGACUCCUACGGGAGGCAGCAGUGGGGAAUAUUGGCCCAUGGGCGCAAGCCUGAUCCCGCCAUACCGCGUGGGUGAAGAAGGCCUUCGGGUUGUAAAGCCCUUUUGUUGGGAAAGAAAAGCAGCAGGUUAAUACCCCGCUGUUCUGACGGUACCCACAGAAUAAGCACCGGCUAACUUCGUG
This 492-nucleotide ribosomal RNA is filed under the name uncultured bacterium. RNAcentral describes it as "partial 16S ribosomal RNA". It matches the Rfam family "Bacterial small subunit ribosomal RNA", at positions 29 to 507 of the family's 1533-position model. The record is from RNAcentral.